This 1174-nucleotide long non-coding RNA is filed under the name Oryctolagus cuniculus (rabbit). RNAcentral describes it as "lncRNA (ENSOCUG00000035593.1)". Lineage: Eukaryota; Metazoa; Chordata; Mammalia; Lagomorpha; Leporidae. The record is from RNAcentral.
GCCCUACUGGUCCAACAAUUAAGGCACGAUACAAGUAGGGCGGGCCCACCCGCUCUUUGCAGUUGUCCGGGUCCUCGAGUCGAAUAUCAGCAACCGGCGCCGCCCGCCCCGCGCGCUGCUCAAGCGCCGCGUCGCCUGCCUCAUGCCGCCGCCACCGGCCUCUCUCCCGGGCUCCCAGGCGCGGCGCUCGCGCCGGGCCUCGCGCCUCCUCCGAAUUCCUCCUCGGGCAGCGACCGCAAACACGAUCUUAUUAUUGUUCUCGCGCGCGCUCAGCAUCCCCCCCGCCCCGCUUCCGCUCCCCUCCCCUCCCGCGCCGGCCGGUUAAUUCCUAGGUGCACGGCCGGUUUUCGCGGAGAAACCGAGCGCGCCAGCCCGGCUGCUCGGCGGGCGGGCGGGCGGGCGGGCGAUGGGUGCGUCCUCCCCCAGGAACGAAGCCCGCGACGGGCGGGAGAGCCUACUCCGAGGACGCCCGCCGCUUGCUCUCUUUUGUUCUUGGCCGGGAGCUGCCUGCCUCAGCCCAGCCAAUCACCACCCGGCCGCCCCCCACCCCGCCCGGCCGCGCCACCCUGGGGGGCGCUCCCACCGCGCGCCCCACGCCCACCUCCCGCCAACUCGACCCCCGGCCCCGGCGCCCCCCUGGCCGGCCAGCUCUGCGGUGCUCUCUGGGCCUGAAGCCUUGGAACAAGCUGAGCACGGACCACUCUUCUACUCUGAGCUUCCUAACAGGCUGUUUUCAAAGACAUUUUGGGAGAGAGACGCUGCCCAACACCCUCUUCGUUUCAGAGGAGUAAAUAAAAUGACGCAAAAAAGUCUUAGAGUCUGGCUGCAUCAACCUCCAGCCUGCUUUAAGAGGUCAGCAGGCCGGCCCCUGAGCGCAGCCGACUUCCUGUGGCCUGCACCCUGGCCCAAGGAUAGUCUGGGCCGGCUCUCCCAUCCCUGUCUGCUCUCCCUUUUGCAGGAGCUACACUCUUUUCCCAGCACCGCCUGCCUCUGUUGCGUUGGAGAAUCGUGUGUGUGGUUGUGUGUGUGUGUGUGUGUGUGGUUGUGUGUUUUAACUCUGGUCUUGUUCCUUAGUGCUGGACUUCCGAAACUGGGGGGCUGCAAAGUUUCAAGACCCCUUCCUCACCUACUCGGCAGGUUCACCUCUUUCUCUUUUCCCACUGGGAAAGGCUGA